UCUGCUUAUGUGGCUUGUCCUUCUCUUGCCACGUGUUUAGAUGUCAUUGUCCUUAAUGCCAUGUUGAGCUCCAGCACGUUGGGUUUUAGUAUUUGAAUUAUGUAUUGGGCCCUAAGUGGUGGGCUAUAUCCUUUGUGGGCUUACCCGUGUCAAAUAUGAAUUGGGAAAGAGGGGAAUUUGGGGACACCUUUGUAUCGACUUUCGCCGUUGCAGAUCGGCUAAGAAUGAGGAACUCAACUUCCACUUGAGUUCAAAGGGAAAAUUGGGAUUGAAUCAGAGACAGAUUUCUGAUCAGAUCGAAAAACCCAAAUGCGAAACAAAAGCUUAUGAUAUGAUUUAUGAUUUCAAGGAAUCAAACCACACACGCAAACCCAAAAAUGAGGAUUCUAGGUUGUUUAGGAUUUUCAGACCCAGUGUAUACAUUCAGUAUUUGAACGAGAGAGAGAGAAAGAGAAACAGAACACCACGCCGAAGAAUCACCGUGGUAAAGUACCGACGAAGAUCGCCACCGCUAGAUUGCCGCUGUCACAAAUCGCCGUUGAUGCAGUGAGAGGAUGACAGAGAGUGAGAAUUAGAAUCCUAGUCAUAAAUAGAGCAGUGACAACAUACGGGGAAAUGGGUGGAUACCCUUCCCAACCCGUCCACAGUGGAGGUUUUAAGAAAUCCACUUAUCCGACCUGAUGGUUUAGGAGGAAAAAAAAAAAAAAGAAAAAUUCAUAUAUUUCAAUCGGAUCUUCAUGGAUAUUUAGAGGGUAAAUUAUUUAUUGCCAUCUUAAAACUGGGUUUAGCUCCAAUCCAUAUUCUAGACCGGUCCAAUUUAAGCCCGUCGACUCCAAUUUAUUCAACUUAUAACUUUCAUAAGGAAAAACAAAUGGGAGACUUACCAGCUGGUCCCAUAGAAACAAAUUAAUACCCACCAAGUCCUGUCCUAUUUCAGUUUCCAAUUUUACCCCUCAAUGUCACACCACACGUGUAAAGCAAAGAAGAUAUCAUGAGCUCUCCCCUGUGCGCGUGACACACACGCUCCUUCUCAAUUGUUCUGAUUUGGAAACCAUUCUGAGCCGAUUUGGAAACUAUUCUGAGGCGAUUUGCAAUUUGGAAAUCGAAACAAAUGAAGAGAUUUUCCCUGAAUCUCCCAUCGUUUUCAAAGAAAUCACCUCUCUUUCGAUCUAUAUUCUGAUUCCGAACAGAUCUCCAGCAAAUCUUCCACCGUUUCGAUCUAUAUUCCCUGUUUAGUUUAUCUUCAACAAACAUGCGAAUCAAACAUGUUCCUAGUCAUCGUAAAAGAUUACGUCGUCGAGAAACAAGUUUCUCAAAGAAGAAAAAGAUUGAAAAAGUUGAGUUUGUUAUAGAGCCAACAACACAUGAAAGUGAAAAUCAACUAGAAGUUAAACCUGAAUCUAACAUUGACAAUGAGGAGCCCAAACAGGAACAACUGAAACAAGCUACAGAGCUCCACAAAGCAAGAGAGAAGAAAAAGAUUGAUGGAAGAAAAACUAGGAUUGAACAGAUACAUGAUAAUGAAGCAAAGUAUGUCUACCGUUCUAACAUUCAAUCUCUUAUCAAAUUUUUCAAGACAGCAAAACUCAAAGAGGAGCAUUUGACACUAUUGAGAAAGACACCUUUUUCACUUCUAGUUGAUACAUUGAGUCAAAACAAGGUUAAAAGAAGAGAUUCAAUUAAAUAUGAUGAUGUGGUUGCAAAAAUUUUGCAAACUUACCAAAUUGAUGGAACCACAUUUGAAAUUGGUGGGAAGAAACUGAAGUUGAAAAGAAAUGAAUUCAAGUUAAUUUUUGGGAUUGCAUGUGGACAGAAGAAGAUGAAUCUUGCAUACAGAAGAAAAAAUGAGGUAGCUAUGGUGCAAAGAAGGAAAAUAGCCGAGAGCAGAAUGACAAGUGCUUUAAUCUAAAAGUUGAUAACGAAACUUUUGAGAAGCAACAACAAUGAAGAUGUAGAAGAUGUCGUUAGGCUUGUGUGCCUUUUGGUUUGUUUGCUUUUGUUGUAUCCGGGUACUGGGACAACAAUUGGUUGGGGGUUCAUGAAAUACCUCGAGAAUAUUGAUGAAAUGAAGUCUUAUGAUUGGUGUGGCGCAGCAAAACAACAUCUUACAAGAUCAAUAGCACGCAACAUCAACCAAAUUGAUAGAGUGUGCGGAUGUGUGAUCAUCUUAUUGUAUUGGAUAUGUGAGCAUAUAAAGAUUAUCAAACCAAAUGACAAGAAUGCAAUCCCAAGAUUUGCAAAAUGGAACAUCACACAUCUGGGAGAACAAUUGGCAAAGUCAUCCUUGCAUGAUCUGAAACAUAUUGAGAUGUUAUGAGCUCUCUCAUGACAUUAUCUAUGCCAGAAAGAAGAUCUUUAACUGCACAAACACAAAAGCAAGAAGAGAAAGACAACAAAGAGACAAAAAAAAAAAAUAGGAUAACAAAAAGGAAACAGCAACAAGAGAAACAACAAACAAACAACAACAAAGGAAGAAAAGACAAAGACAGCAAAAGGAUGAACCUGAAAAUCAAGCUCAAAAACAAGGAGAACAAAAAGAAAGAAUAACCAAACACCAACAAUAGAAACAAGCCGAAACAAGAACCAAGCCCCAACAAAACAAACAAGAACCAAAGCAGCACAAACCAAAAGGCAAGAAGAAAAUAAAGGGAAGAAAAACAAGAAAUGAUCAAAUUCAUGACCGUGAAGCAAAGUAUGUGUACCGCUCAAACAUGCUAUCCCUCAUCAGAUUCUUCAAUGCCACGAAACUUGAAAUUGAGCAUUUCCAAAUAUUGAAAAAGACUCCAUUCUUCUUUCUAGUUGACAUUUUGUCAAAAAAGAAGGUGCAAAAAGUAGAUUCAAUGAAAUAUGAUGAUGUGGUUGCAAAAAUCUUGCAAACAUACCAAAUGGAUGGAACCACAUUUCAAAUUGGAGGGAAGAAGCUAAAGUUGAAAAAAAAUGAUUUCAAGUUAAUUUUUGGGAUUGCAUGUGGACAAAAGAAGAUGAAUCUUGUAUAUAGAAGAAAAGAUGACAUAGAUCUGGUAAAAAGAAGGAAAAUAAGAGAGAAUAGAAUGACAAGUGCUUCAAUCCAAAAGUUGAUAACCAAACUUUUAAGAAGCAAGAAGAAGGAAGACAGAGAAGAUGUUGUAAGGCUUGUGUGCCUCUUGAUUUGCUUGCUGUUGUUAUAUCCUGGUACUGGCACUACAAUUGGUUGGGGGCUCAUGAAAUAUCUUGAGGAUAUUGACAAAAUGAAGUCUUAUGAUUGGUGCGACGCAGCAAAGCAACAUCUCACAAAAUCAAUAGAAAGAAACAUCAACCAAAUUGAUAAAGUGUCCGGAUGUGUGAUGGUCGUAUUGAUAAUAUUGGAUAUGCGAACACACAAGCACCAUCAAACCCAAUGCCAAAAAUGCAAUCCCAAGAUUUACUAAAUGGAACAUCACACGUUUGGGACAGCAAUUGGCAAGUUCAUCCUUGCAAGAUCUAAAAGAUAUUGUGGAGAAUAAUUUGAAGCACACAGAUAAAGAGAAAAAAAUAUACCGAAUGCUGCUAGAAGAAAUUGAGGAUAACGAUGAAGACGAAGAUGAAGAUGCUAAUUUUCAAUAACAAAAUCAGACUGAAAAUUCUGAAAAAGAAUAACAAACAUUCAUUGAAGACAAAUCCAAACAUGAAACAUGAGAACCAAUUCCACACAAAAUAUGCCCUGAAAAGAAAAUGAAAACAGUACCCUUUGAAUCACAAAAGAGUGAGGGAAACAAAGUUGACAAAGAGGUUGAAGUGGAUCCAAAUCUGGUAGAAGUACUUGUUUUUUAGUAGAUAGAAGAUGGCAUGCUCAAAAUGGAAAGGGACAUCCUUCAAACUGCAAAUGAUAACAUGCAGCAGCAACUCAAGAAGUUGAAAAAAGAAAUGCAAGAUCAGCACAAAAGCACAAAAAAUCAAAUGCAAAGAAAAGAUGAAGAAAUCAAAAUACUCCAUGAGAGAAUUGCAACAUUGGCUGAGGCAAACAAGUACUCAGAAGAAAAACACACACAAGAGCAGCCUGCAAUGAAGAAAUUGAAAAUUUCAAAUGAAAUUUUCAAUAUCCUACCAGAAAAAUCAAGGCAAAAUCCCAUUGCACAUUAGGCGAAUACAAAGAAAAAGGAUGAGCUAGUAUGGCAAGGAUCUGACCAUCCAACCUAUGUCUACUUAAAUGACAUUGACAAAAUAUUGAAGGGUCAAGAUUUGGCAGGCAUUGUAAGAGACGCAUAUACAGAACACUUGCUUGCACAAAAACAAGGAACAUCAUUCAUAUUCAUUUCAAGUUGCCAUCACUUGUUGACAACAAAAGAUAAGGAAGCAAGAAAGAGAAUGCUGAACAAAAUGAUGCGUGAAGCCAUGAAAGCAAGAUACCUUCUCUUCCCAAUCCACCAAAAUUUUCACUGGACAAUAUUUGUCCUUGACAUUGAAGAAGGUUCAUGGAAAUUCUACAAUUCCAUCAGACCAAGGGGAGCAAUGGCUAAAGAUCCACACUUCAAUGCCGCAAAUGAAGUGAACAAUUAUACAAAUGUAUAUGUUGCAAAGAGAGAUUAUUGACAAGUACAUAAAGGAUGAGAAGCCAACUCUCAUCCACCUUGAUAAAUUUCAACAGGAGACAGAGAGCGUCAUCAACAACCCAUAACAAGAAGACACGUUGCUUGAUUGUGGAAUCAUUGUUUGCUAUAUCAUGAGGCAAUAUGUUUCCAAAAACAACAUAAUGCCUACUUUUUCCAAGGAAGAAUGCAAUCAAUUGAGAGCCAAUAUGUUAACUAUCUUCUUGACUGACCAACAAGUUGCUCAACAACAAAUACCUGAGGAAAACAUUGAUGACUUGCCUCUGCAAUAAUCAACAGAUCUGGAAGAGAAGAAAACAAAAGGAAAUACUGAUUCAUUUGGUUGUUAGAAUGUCAAUACUGUAUACAUUUUGCUUGUUUGUUUGUUUGUUACAGUGUUACCAGUAUUUUGAUGAUUUUGGUUCUUACUUUCCUCUAAUGAAUAUUACAAUGCUUAGUUGUUACAAUGUCAAAGUUAUGGACAGUGCUUGGUUGUUACAAUGUCAAAGUUAUGGACAAUGCUUAAUUGUUACAAUGUCAAAUUUGCUUCAAUGAAACAUUCAGUCUUUUUUAGCCAUAUCGUUACCAGAUCUGGCUUUUGA
This is a non-coding RNA of Camellia sinensis, 5146 nucleotides long. NCBI's taxonomy places the organism in Eukaryota, Viridiplantae, Streptophyta, Magnoliopsida, Ericales, Theaceae. The record is from RefSeq and is a predicted model, not a curated record.